CGGCCUCUGCCUGUUCCGGGGGAGGCCGGGUCCUGGGCUGUGCCCCGGCGGCCUGAGCUCCAGAGCCUGUGCUGUUGGAUUCGCGGUCCCGGGCCCCGCACCCCCCUCCGCGGAGCCUCUUC
Molecule: non-coding RNA, 122 nt
Organism: Canis lupus familiaris (dog)
Lineage: Eukaryota; Metazoa; Chordata; Mammalia; Carnivora; Canidae
Product: microRNA mir-8799b
Source: RefSeq, marked provisional